RNAcentral lists this ribosomal RNA (603 nucleotides) under uncultured soil bacterium. RNAcentral's name for it is "bacterial SSU rRNA". It matches the Rfam family "Bacterial small subunit ribosomal RNA", at positions 35 to 617 of the family's 1533-position model. The record is from RNAcentral.
GCUGGCGGCGUGCCUAACACAUGCAAGUCGAACGCGAAAGUUCCUUCGGGGAUGAGUAGAGUGGCGUCCGGGUGAGUAACACGUGGGUAAUCUGCCUCCGGGUGGGGAAUAACACCUCGAAAGAGGUGCUAAUACCGCAUAAUGCAGCGGCACCUAAUGGUGAUUAGUUGUUAAAGCGGGGGAUCGCAAGACCUCGCGCCUGGAGAGGAGCCUGCGGCCGAUUAGCUAGUUGGUGAGGUAACGGCUCACCAAGGCUUCGAUCGGUAGCUGGUCUGAGAGGACGGCCAGCCACACUGGCACUGAAACACGGGCCAGACUCCUACGGGAGGCAGCAGUGGGAAAUUUUGGGCAAUGGGCGCAAGCCUGACCCAGCAACGCCGCGUGAGGGAGGAAAUCCUUCGGGAUGUAAACCUCGCAAGCAGGGGAAGAGUGCUUUCGACCUAAUACGUUGAAAGAGGGACGGUACCCUGCGUAAGCCACGGCUAACUACGUGCCAGCAGCCGCGGUAAUACGUAGGUGGCAAGCGUUGUUCGGAAUUACUGGGCGUAAAGGGCGCGUAGGCGGCUUGUUAAGUCGGCUGUGAAAGCCCGGGGCUCAACCCCG